This 71-nucleotide transfer RNA is filed under the name Candidatus Melainabacteria bacterium. Its description in RNAcentral is "tRNA-Gln". It matches the Rfam family "tRNA". Rfam says of the family: Transfer RNA (tRNA) molecules are approximately 80 nucleotides in length. Their secondary structure includes four short double-helical elements and three loops (D, anti-codon, and T loops). Further hydrogen bonds mediate the characteristic L-shaped molecular structure. tRNAs have two regions of fundamental functional importance: the anti-codon, which is responsible for specific mRNA codon recognition, and the 3' end, to which the tRNAs corresponding amino acid is attached (by aminoacyl-tRNA synthetases). tRNAs cope with the degeneracy of the genetic code in two manners: having more than one tRNA (with a specific anti-codon) for a particular amino acid; and 'wobble' base-pairing, i.e. permitting non-standard base-pairing at the 3rd anti-codon position. The record is from RNAcentral. Lineage: Bacteria; Bacillati; Candidatus Melainabacteria.
UCCGAGGUCGUCUAAUGGUAGGACACGACGCUUUGAACGUUGGAACGGUGGUUCGAAUCCAUCCCUCGGAG